This 489-nucleotide ribosomal RNA is filed under the name uncultured bacterium. RNAcentral's name for it is "partial 16S ribosomal RNA". It matches the Rfam family "Bacterial small subunit ribosomal RNA", at positions 28 to 507 of the family's 1533-position model. The record is from RNAcentral.
GACGAACGCUGGCGGCGUGCUUAACACAUGCAAGUCGAACGGAAAGGCCCCCAUCUUGGUGGGGGUGCUCGAGUGGCGAACGGGUGAGUAACACGUGGGUGAUCUGCCCUGUACUUCGGGAUAAGCUUGGGAAACUGGGUCUAAUACCGGAUAGGACCAUGGUUUAGAGUCUCAUGGUGGAAAGAUUAUUGUUUUGGUGCAGGAUGAGCUCGCGGCCUAUCAGCUUGUUGGUGGGGUAAUGGCCUACCAAGGCGUCGACGGGUAGCCGGCCUGAGAGGGUGGACGGCCACAUUGGGACUGAGAUACGGCCCAGACUCCUACGGGAGGCAGCAGUGGGGAAUAUUGCACAAUGGGCGCAAGCCUGAUGCAGCGACGCCGCGUGGGGGAUGACGGCCUUCGGGUUGUAAACUCCUUUCGUUAGGGACGAAGCCGCACUUUUUUUGGGUGUGGUGACGGUACCUUUGUGAAGAAGCACCGGCUAACUACGUG